RNAcentral lists this ribosomal RNA (253 nucleotides) under uncultured bacterium. RNAcentral's name for it is "partial 16S ribosomal RNA". It matches the Rfam family "Bacterial small subunit ribosomal RNA", at positions 524 to 776 of the family's 1533-position model. The record is from RNAcentral.
UACAGAGGUCCCGAGCGUUGUUCGGAUUCACUGGGCGUAAAGGGUGCGUAGGUGGCAUGGAAAGUUUGAUGUGAAAGCUCAGGGCUUAACCCUGAAAUGGCAUUGAAUACUGCUGUGCUGGAGGUUUGGAGGGGGGACUGGAAUUCUUGGUGUAGCAGUGAAAUGCGUAGAUAUCAAGAGGAACACCAGUGGCGAAGGCGAGUCCCUGGACAACACCUGACACUGAGGCACGAAAGCUAGGGGAGCAAACAGG